RNAcentral lists this ribosomal RNA (506 nucleotides) under uncultured bacterium. Its description in RNAcentral is "partial 16S ribosomal RNA". It matches the Rfam family "Bacterial small subunit ribosomal RNA", at positions 28 to 523 of the family's 1533-position model. The record is from RNAcentral.
GAUGAACGCUAGCUACAGGCUUAACACAUGCAAGUCGAGGGGUAACAAGAGAAAAGCUUGCUUUUCUUGUUGACGACCGGCGCACGGGUGAGUAACGCGUAUCCAACCUGCCCAUAACUAGGGAAUAACCUUGCGAAAGUAAGACUAAUACCCUAUAAUUUCCUUUGACGGCAUCUGACGAGGAAUAAAGAUUUAUCGGUUAUGGAUGGGGAUGCGUCUGAUUAGCUUGUUGGCGGGGUAACGGCCCACCAAGGCAACGAUCAGUAGGGGUUCUGAGAGGAAGGUCCCCCAAAUUGGAACUGAGACACGGUCCAAACUCCUACGGGAGGCAGCAGUGAGGAAUAUUGGUCAAUGGGCGGAAGCCUGAACCAGCCAAGUAGCGUGCAGGAUGACGGCCCUAUGGGUUGUAAACUGCUUUUAUACAGGAAUAAAGUUAGCCACGUGUGGUUACUUGUAGGUACUGUAUGAAUAAGGACCGGCUAAUUCCGUGCCAGCAGCCGCAGUAA